UAAUACGUAGGAGGCUAGCGUUGUCCGGAUUUACUGGGCGUAAAGGGGGCGCAGGUGGCUGAGUAGGUCCGUGGUGCAAGCUCCAGGCUUAACUUGGAGAGGUCUACGGAAACCGCUUGGCUUGAGGGCGGUAGAGGAGCACGGAAUUCCGGGUGUAGUGGUGAAAUGCGUAGAUAUCCGGAGGAACACCUGAGGCGAAAGCGGUGCUCUGGGCCGUUCCUGACACUCAGGCCCGAAAGCGUGGGGAGCAAACUGGAUUAGAUACCCAGGUAGUCCACGCCCUAAACGAUGGAUGCUAGACAUGGGGGGUAUCGACCCCUCCCGUGUCGUAGCUUACGCGUUAAGCAUCCCGCCUGGGAACUACGGCCGCAAGGCUA
RNAcentral lists this ribosomal RNA (377 nucleotides) under uncultured Chloroflexota bacterium. RNAcentral describes it as "bacterial SSU rRNA". It matches the Rfam family "Bacterial small subunit ribosomal RNA", at positions 521 to 896 of the family's 1533-position model. The record is from RNAcentral. Lineage: Bacteria; Bacillati; Chloroflexota.